UACGGAGGGUGCAAGCGUUGUUCGGAUUCACUGGGCGUAAAGGGUGCGUAGGUGGCCAGGUAAGUUUGAUGUGAAAGCUCGGAGCUUAACUCCGAAAUGGCAUUGAAUACUAUCUGGCUUGAGGGUCGGAGGGGAGACUGGAAUUCUCGGUGUAGCAGUGAAAUGCGUAGAUAUCGAGAGGAACACCAGUGGCGAAGGCGAGUCUCUGGACGACACCUGACACUGAGGCACGAAAGCUAGGGGAGCAAACAGG
This 253-nucleotide ribosomal RNA is filed under the name uncultured bacterium. Its description in RNAcentral is "partial 16S ribosomal RNA". It matches the Rfam family "Bacterial small subunit ribosomal RNA", at positions 524 to 776 of the family's 1533-position model. The record is from RNAcentral.